This 309-nucleotide ribosomal RNA is filed under the name Triticum aestivum (bread wheat). RNAcentral's name for it is "partial small subunit ribosomal RNA". Lineage: Eukaryota; Viridiplantae; Streptophyta; Magnoliopsida; Poales; Poaceae. The record is from RNAcentral.
AUGAACCCAGGUUAUGAGGACAGAUUUCACAACGAAUAUUUCUGGAGGCAACCACAAGAGCUCAUUAGUGAACCGGCUCUAGAUGUUUCGAUCCCGUGCUUGCGAAAUCGGCUGAGGAGUAUCAACUUCGUGCACUACCAGGGCGACGACCGACAAAAAUAUCUAGCCAACCUGCUGCUUUGUAAUGCGAUGGUUCUGGAACAAGUGUGUGUUGCCUUUCCAAGGGGUGAACAUAAGUUGCUGACUAGACUCAAGAAGGAAGUCGAAGGAUGGUUGGUGAAUAAAUCAGCAAAGGUGAUAUUCCUGUAA